AACGAGACCUUAACCUGCUAAAUAGCCAGGUUGACUUUUGUCGGCCGCCGGCUUCUUAGAGGGACUUUUGGCUCAAGCCAAUGGAAGUACGAGGCAAUAACAGGUCUGUGAUGCCCUUAGAUGUUCUGGGCCGCACGCGCGCUACACUGACAGAGCCAGCGAGUACAUCACCUUGGCCGAAAGGUCUGGGUAAUCUUGUGAAACUC
RNAcentral lists this ribosomal RNA (206 nucleotides) under Bacillicladium lobatum. Its description in RNAcentral is "partial large subunit ribosomal RNA". It matches the Rfam family "Eukaryotic small subunit ribosomal RNA", at positions 1334 to 1562 of the family's 1831-position model. Lineage: Eukaryota; Fungi; Ascomycota; Eurotiomycetes; Chaetothyriales; Trichomeriaceae. The record is from RNAcentral.